CUCUGAGUGCUAUACAUGGCUCAGGUGUGGUAUGGUCGCUAGGGAAAGCUCUAUAUAGGAUCUGUAUCAUCUAGAGAAGAAUCUGACUGUGAGCCCAUCUAAGUAAAAGUGAGAGGAAAAAACAACAUUCUUUCUGCUUCCACCUAGACUACUUGGAUCUUGAUUUAAUGUAACAGAGACAGCAUUGAAUUCGAUGAGGCAGUGAUUUACCUCAGCGACUCCCCACCGGGAUAUGGCUACAGAACAAGAACAAUUGCGACUUCAAGAGCUUCUCUGUCCUUUCACCAGUUUCUCCUGUGGACACAGAAGAUUUCCAGUAGAACAAGAACUGGAACGGGCAAUGCGGUCCCUGAGCUAGCUCUUCCAGUAUCAGCGCAUCAGUAUUCAGGAGUCCAACUGUUUCUGUUUGCAAAGCUGUGUAGAUGAAUGCAGUCCAAAACGUAGAAGUGGACCUAAACUUUAAACACUAUUUGCUGUAGAAUUAAAGGUAAGUCUUGAACAAACAACAAGUGAAAAUUGUGCAUCUGCAGAUCUGAACAAAUAUAAAUAUCUGAUGUG
Molecule: long non-coding RNA, 558 nt
Filed under: Struthio camelus australis
Lineage: Eukaryota; Metazoa; Chordata; Aves; Struthioniformes; Struthionidae
Description: lncRNA (ENSSCUG00000005612.1)
Source: RNAcentral